UCCUACGGGGGGCAGCAGUGGGGAAUAUUGCGCAAUGGGCGAAAGCCUGACGCAGCGACGCCGCGUGGGGGAUGAAGGCCUUCGGGUUGUAAACCCCUUUCAGCAGGGACGAAGCGAAAGUGACGGUACCUGCAGAAGAAGCGCCGGCUAACUACGUGCCAGCAGCCGCGGUAACACGUAGGGCGCAAGCGUUGUCCGGAAUUAUUGGGCGUAAAGAGCUCGUAGGCGGUCUGUUGCGUCCGCUGUGAAAACUCGGGGCUUAACCCCGAGCCUGCAGUGGAUACGGGCAGACUAGAGGUAGGUAGGGGAGAAUGGAAUUCCCGGUGUAGCGGUGAAAUGCGCAGAUAUCGGGAGGAACACCGGUGGCGAAGGCGGUUCUCUGGGCCUUACCUGACGCUGAGGAGCGAAAGCGUGGGGAGCGAACAGGAUUAGAUACCCCGGU
This 442-nucleotide ribosomal RNA is filed under the name uncultured bacterium. RNAcentral describes it as "bacterial SSU rRNA". It matches the Rfam family "Bacterial small subunit ribosomal RNA", at positions 337 to 791 of the family's 1533-position model. The record is from RNAcentral.